GGAAGUCUUACAAAAUAAAUAAUAAUAAUAAAAUGAACUAAAUAUUAUUUCCCUGGCGCCACAAAGCUGACUGGGAAACGCCACCUAGAUCAACUCGCAAGCUUCAUUGUAAGGCGGAUCCUCUUCGACCACCUGCUCUUCACCAGUGGGGGGUUUACAUAUCGCAAGAGUGAGCCCACAAAAGAUCAAUAAUGUGCAUGAACUCACCAAAGGUGGGAGUUCAUGUGAAGUGUAAGGCUGAUCAACAAAAUAAAGGUUGAAGCUGAGCAUUGCUUUUAUAAGUUGGUCAAAAUUUUAUUAGCAGUUACUAAGUGUAAGUAAAUACAAAAAUCUUGUAAUAGUAAAUCAAAGUAAUAAUAAAUCCCAAUGCGAUGCAAAUGACAAAAUGAAUUUAAUUCCAUAAAUUAAUCAUGUGAGGGUCCGAGCCUUAUGACCGUCAGCACGGCUGAUAUACCAGUUUUACACUCUACAGAGGUUGCGCAUCUUUACCCACCAGUCAUGUUACCCAUCUGCCAAGGGAUAGCUACUGCCAUACACCUCUACCAAGGAAGCGAGGCAUGGUAACACUAUGAGGCAUUUACAAAGUUCCACUAGCUUCAGAAAACCCGCUACAGUUUUUAGGAAGCUCCAAUGCAGGGACCCCUCGCCUGACCGCUAUCGCAGCAAAAUCAACCCAAGGGCCUCCCUACAUUGACCACUCCCCUACUGCCCUUGCCCCUAUCGAGUAAGGUAGUCCUCCACUAGGUUUCCUAGUUAGUCAGCCAAGGGCAUCCCAUACCACCUUUGUGGUAGCACUAUUUUUCCGGGUGGUCGCUCCAUGUUCCAAUUAACAUAAUGAUCUUAUCAUGAACAGUAAAUAACAAACUGAGAAUAAAAGUAUAAUCAUGAAUAAUGUGUAUCUCCAUACCCAAAACCAUAUAAAGCAAUAGCAAGUACUACCCAAAAAGUUCAGUGGUAAUCAAGGUAUAAAGAUAGUCAAACUAGGGUAACCUAAAGGGUCCCAUCAAAAUUAACCUAUGCAGAUCAUUAUGAUUAAUAAGAACAUGAUUAGGUAAAAAGAAGUGAUAAAGGGCACAACUUGCCUUCAACGAGCUCCUACUUAGCAGUCUCCACCUGUUGAACCCCUGGAUCCUCUGUGGCUAGCUUGUCUACUCGCAACAAUACAAACAAACAUAGUAUAGCAAAAAUUAACAUCACACCAAGCAUCAAAACAGAAUGCAUGAUAUAUUCUAUGUAUCGUAACAAGAUCGUAGGAACAAGAAUCGCUAAAUUCGGAGUUAUGGUUUUCUAGUUGUGAAUUUCUAAAAUUAUUUAGUACCUAGAAGGCUAGAAUAGAGGGUUCAAGUGAAUAAUUUUAGUCCAAAUUUCAUGGUUAAACAGAGUUACUAGUUGAUAAACAAUAUUAAAACAAAAUUAAUGCCUCUGGAAUGAAUCAAUUUGGAGCUAAAAUGAUUUAAAUGUGAUUUAUAUAAGUUUUGCAAUUAUUUUUAUACUCAAAAUCGAUUUCUAAAUCUAUUUUCCUAUUUUCUUUAUUUUCUGGACUACGCACACGAUUCCAGAGAAGUUUAGGGUUCUAUUCAUAAAUUCUAGGGCUUAUCCGCUACUGUUUUUGGGUUCUAGUGGAUGGCAGACGAAUUUUAAAAAAGUCGGAGCCCUUUUUGUGAAAAGUGAGCGGCGAAGCGGUAUAGGCGAACCGGAGCCGAUGGAUCACCAUCAAGCGGCCAGCGUUUCAUCUGGGCGAUUAAAUGCCCGCAUGCAAGCAUGGUCGUCGAUCGCGAGUUCUGUGAACAUGAUCUAAUGACCACGGGAGGCCAUGCGACCCUUCGAUCUGAAUCGAACGGACCACACCACCCCAGCUGAUCCUAUGCGCACAAUCCAAUUUCGAACACCAAUCUAGGAUCCAACGCUUAACAAUAUGCCUUCCCCCUUGUCCCCCUUGCUAGCGCGCAGCGGCUAGGAACCGGCGGAGCACAGCCACGGUGGCGCAACUCCGGCGACCACCGAUUCCAAAUUUCCAACGCACGAACUUCUACGUAACGGGCUCUAAACACAACGAAACAAGAGUAAACUUUGAAGGCCUUGUUCGUUUUCAUCGGAUUGCACCCGGAAUCGUUUCACCUAAUCAAAGUUUAUAUAAAUCAGAGAAUCAAUCCGGUUAGGAAUCGUUUCGACCUAUCAAUCCGGUAGAAACGAACAAGGCCGAUGGGAGUUCCCUAACCGGAACGAUGAAGCGCAGCCGUCCGACCAUAGCUGGAGGUGAAUCCGCGGCGCCUCCCAACACCAGCGAGAAAUCCGGUUGGCGCAGGUGGUGCUCACACCAAAUAGCACACUCCCACACGACCCGCACGCGCCAGUGAAUAGCCAAGUGGUUUGUUGAGGGCUAGGCGAUGGCGAGGGUAUGGAUUGCCCACGGCGGCACUUAUUCCC
RNAcentral lists this long non-coding RNA (2427 nucleotides) under Zea mays. Its description in RNAcentral is "long non-coding RNA (ZMAY_LNC001606)". Lineage: Eukaryota; Viridiplantae; Streptophyta; Magnoliopsida; Poales; Poaceae. The record is from RNAcentral.